AUCUACACUAUUAAAAGUAUUUGGAAACUAAAUUUCAUAAUUUUUCGAUAUCAUUACCUAUCAAACAAGUAGUCUAAAAUUGAACGGCUGAAAAUAAAAAUCUCAUAAAAAAUGAUGAUAAAAGAUUUAAAUUCAAUAUCAGAUAUACUCAUCUUACUCUAAAUACUGAAAAGAAUUUUCUAUAAAAUUUUCAUCGGAUUUGGAUUGUUUUACACCGUUAAACUCACAAACACACCACAUCGGCCCUUAAAAUUGUCAAUUUUGAGAUCUUUUGAUCACUAGUCAAAUGAUGUCGAAAAAAUCUGAAAUUUAGUUUUCAAAUGCUUUCAAUAGUAUAGAUCAAGUAUAACGGAGCCGAUCGUCGAUUUGGAAGCCGCAUCAUUGAAAAUAACUUGGUAGCACGGAAGCCUCUGUACUACCAAUAGUAUAGCAGCCGGACUCUAUAUAUAUAUAUAGUGUAGAGCUACUAUGCUAUCGGGAGCAUAGAGCAUUCGAUGCUUCAGAUAUUUUGAUCCUUGGAUCAAGAAUUAUACGGUUGGGAUAAUUACGGUCCCCCCAGGGUUGAGCGGUACCCCUAAGGUUGAGUGGUUCCCACAAGGUAAUAAUAUUAUUCCAAAAGUUAAAAAUGAUUAAAGAGGAUCUAAGGGCCAAAAAAUUGGAAGUGUCAGAUCUUUUAUAUUCCGAUAGCAUAGUAGCUCUACUCUCUCUCUCUCUCUCUCUCUAUAUAUAUGAGUACAUAUCCUAUGCUUUUGAAAGUACGUACGCAGAUCUUUGUGCUUGUAAGUUGUUUUCGAUGAUAAAACAUCCAAUUUGACGAUCGGCUCUUUUAGACAUGAUCUAAAGUUAUAAAAAUUAUUUAGAAAUCAAAUUUCAUAAUUUUUCGACAUCAUUUACCAUGUGUCAAUGGGUCUAAAAAAUGACUAUUUUAAUGGCCGACGUGGCACGUUUGUAAUUCAACAGUAUAGAAUAAUUCAAAUUAUAUGAAACUUUAAUAAAAAAAUUCUACUUAAUAUCAAGAGAAAGAUCAAUACUUCUGAUUCAAAAUUUGAGUCUUUUAUCACUGUUUUUGUGAGAUUUUUAUUUCCAGCCAUUCAUAUUGAGACCACUCGUUCAUUAUGCAAGCAAAGUCAAAAAAUUAUAAAAUUUUAUUUUUAAAUAGUUCUAAUAGUGUAGAUCAUGUCAAUGGAACCGAUCAUCAAAUUGGAUAUCCUAUCGUUGAAAACAACUUAUAAGCACGGAAGUUUUCAUACUUUCGAAAGUGUUGGAGAGACGUGCGCGCGCGCGCGCGCACACACACACACACACACAUAUAAAUAUAUAUAGAGAGAGAGCUAGGCUAAUAUACUAUCAGUAGCACGAAGGCCUCCAUGCUACAAAGUUAUUUUCAAUGAUGCGGCUUCCAAAUCGACGAUCGGCUCCGUUAGACUUGAUCUAAACUAUUAAAAGUAUUUGGAAAUUAAAUUUCAUAAUUUUUCGGCAUCAUUUGGCUAGUGAUCAAACGAUCUCAAAAUUAAUAAUUUUAAUGUUAGAUUAGCAAAAAAAAAAAAACAGAAGGUAAAAGAAGAAGAAGAUGAAUGAAUGAAUGAAUGAAUGAAUGAAGAUAUGUUAAAUAUUUUUGUAA
Molecule: long non-coding RNA, 1621 nt
Filed under: Ananas comosus (pineapple)
Lineage: Eukaryota; Viridiplantae; Streptophyta; Magnoliopsida; Poales; Bromeliaceae
Description: long non-coding RNA (ACOM_LNC014590)
Source: RNAcentral